UACGUAGGGGGCAAGCGUUGUCCGGAAUCAUUGGGCGUAAAGAGCGUGUAGGCGGUCCGGUAAGUCGGCUGUGAAAGUCCAGGGCUCAACCCUGGGAUGCCGGUCGAUACUGCCGGACUAGAGUUCGGAAGAGGCGAGUGAAAUUCCCGGUGUAGCGGUGAAAUGCGCAGAUAUCGGGAGGAACACCUAUGGCGAAGGCAGCUCGCUGGGACGUUACUGACGCUGAGACGCGAAAGCGUGGGGAGCAAACAGG
RNAcentral lists this ribosomal RNA (253 nucleotides) under uncultured bacterium. RNAcentral describes it as "partial 16S ribosomal RNA". It matches the Rfam family "Bacterial small subunit ribosomal RNA", at positions 524 to 776 of the family's 1533-position model. The record is from RNAcentral.